This is a long non-coding RNA of Melopsittacus undulatus (budgerigar), 1897 nucleotides long. RefSeq lists it as uncharacterized. Lineage: Eukaryota; Metazoa; Chordata; Aves; Psittaciformes; Psittaculidae. The transcript has 3 exons. The record is from RefSeq and is a predicted model, not a curated record.
UGUGACCCGCGGAGGAGCAAGGGGGGGAAAGGCAGGCCCGGCCGGCCUGCACAGCCGCCCCCGCCGCUACAGGGUCGCUGGCCACCGCCGCGCUGCCUCCUCCCCUCAGGGGGCGGCAGCUCCCCGGCCGUGCCCUGCGGCGGAGCGGGACUCGGGGGCGGGAGUUGCCUCCCUUUCGUCUUCCUGCCUCUUGUUUUCGUUUCUCUUUCACGGCAGGUUUCGCAUGGUGCGGCCUGGCAGCGUUGAGGCGCCUGAGCUGACUUCCCCGGGGGUUGUCAGGGCGGCCAGGGGGCGAGGGCAGCGGGAGGAGCCUGGCCUGCGGGGCAGCGGCUGGCUAGCAGCCUGAGGGCGAUAGCGGGAGGGGCUGAGGGGAGUCGUCGAGUCAGUUGGGUUUCGUGUCGGUUGGGGUUGUCUCUUGGGGUCUGCUUUAGCCAGAAAAUGUCUGCAGAGGUGCUGAGUCUUUUAGAGGGAUCUAAAGGGGGCAAAGAGCAGAGGAUGAUAGGAAGGUGAGGGUCGAGCUGGCUUGAAGCCGUGUCGUGAAUUGGGACAAGGUGGGUCGAGUCACUGAUCUGAGGAGCAUGAUUUUUCUGCAUGUUUUCUUACAACUGUUGCUUUCUCCUUGUUCUUGGUCUCAGUCUCGUGCUGGAGGGGUGAUGGGCAUGCAUUCACUACAACAGGGGUAAUGAAGAGCCUUGUGUAGAGACUAUUUCUCCAUGUGUGGCACAGGGGUUUGCAUUGGUUUGUGUUAUCUGUGUUGGUAACAGAAAAGAUUUGCCUGCUUACUGCCCUAGGAGUCAAAGGAUCUAUGAGAGUUCUUAAGUUCUCAGUAAAGAUCGUCAGUGAGAUAUGGGAGUCCGGAUAUCAGCAGCCUCCAAAGUCUGUGUAAAGGUUGAGAAGAGUAAUCUUGGGUAUGUCAGUGUCUAUCACAGCUAGAAUAUCUGCUAGGAAGCAGAAGUGCAGUUUCCUCCGAGGCAGAUCAACCGCUGAAUUUAACAUCCUUCUAGGUUGCUGGCAUUGUCAAGAAAGCAGUUCAGCUAAACAAAAGGAAAUCAGAAGAUGCAGUUACAAACUGUGAACCAAUGACUAUGAACCAGUGAGAACAUGUGAGGAAGAUCUCUGAAAAUGAUGUUUGACUGUAACAACACAGACCAGACAGCUUUUAUUUUGACCAACAGACUGUUGGGAACACAAACUGUAGGUCAAAGUGAAGGACUUGAAACAUGCUCCAGUCUGUACAGAUGUUCUCACUCAGAAAGCAGCUAGAUGGACCAGAAGAUAAACGAAGGCUGUCCAACUUUGAAAAAGGUUUGGAUUUUCAUUCUGUCUUGAUAAGUAAAUCCAGUUUUUCUGGUAGUCUGAUUUUCAGCCUGAUAGAAAAAUUCAACAUCUACAGACAUGACCUAAAAUGACAGAUACCUGAAAAUGUACAAGCAAGACCUCAGAAAGGCGCUAUACAAUAUCAUAAAAAUAUUUUUUGUUUUCAUCUUAAAUGCUUUUGUGUCAAAGGCAGGGAGCAAAGACCAGAAAUUGGAAAUGUUGUUAGUAUUCUAACUCUGAAGCAGGUCAUACAUGCUUGCAGGCAGCAUGCAAUACUUGGAAUGCAAGGCUAAGAUCUGAAAGGUGAUUCAGGAAUCUCUUCUGUAGAUUUUUUUUUUUUUAUUAUUAUAGAAAGCAAGACAGGAUUCCUGAGCUCAGGAGGGUUAUUUGUGAAUAACUUCCAGCUAAAGUGAUUAAGGGCUCCAGCCACUAGCCAAAAAAAAAAAAAACCAAAACAUCAAAAACAUCCUGCUUGUCAUUGCUGCUGGCUUUUUGUUCAAUGAGGUGAGCAUUUGUCUUGUGUUGGUUUUGGUCCUCUGCCCUUGGCGAUACUUUUAACAAUGAAUAAUACUUGAAAGAA